RNAcentral lists this ribosomal RNA (389 nucleotides) under uncultured bacterium. Its description in RNAcentral is "bacterial SSU rRNA". It matches the Rfam family "Bacterial small subunit ribosomal RNA", at positions 30 to 419 of the family's 1533-position model. The record is from RNAcentral.
AUUGAACGCUGGCGGCAUGCCUUACACAUGCAAGUCGAACGGCAGCACGGACUUCGGUCUGGUGGCGAGUGGCGAACGGGUGAGUAAUGCAUCGGAACGUGCCAUUGAGUGGGGGAUAACGUAGCGAAAGUUGCGCUAAUACCGCAUAUUCUGUGAGCAGGAAAGCAGGGGACCGCAAGGCCUUGCGCUCUUUGAGCGGCCGAUGUCAGAUUAGCUAAUUGGUGAGGUAAAGGCUUACCAAGGCGACGAUCUGUAGCGGGUCUGAGAGGAUGAUCCGCCACACUGGAACUGAGACACGGUCCAGACUCCUACGGGAGGCAGCAGUGGGGAAUUUUGGACAAUGGGGGCAACCCUGAUCCAGCCAUGCCGCGUGAGUGAAGAAGGCCUUC